AGUGUUUCUUACAAAUUCAUAAGCGCUAAAAUCUAUUUAAUUGAUAUAAUGAGAGGAUGAACUUUAUAAAUCAUAAAGUGAUAAAAUUAUGUCAUAUAUAUAUAUGCAAAAAGGGAAAAUAUAUAUGGAUGCAAUUGUCAAGUUUGUUAAUAUUAUCAUUAUCUUUCUUUCCUUAUUCAUUGUUGCAACGAACGCUGCAGGUAAUCCAGGUAAAAAGGAAAGUAAUUUGUUUAUCCUUUUCAAAUUUAUUUCUUUACUUCCUAUAUAAUAUGUUUAUCUAUUUUAAUUACAUUCUUUUAUUUUAAUUUUUACAGGUAAAAAAUGUUUUAGUACAUCUGAGUGUCCAAGAACUAUGUGCCCAACUUUUAUGAUGGCCCACUGUAUUAGAAAAAAAUGUCUAUGUGUUUUAAUGUAAUUAGAAGAUUAAGUUCCCACAUGAUUCCGUAGUGCCCGAUCCAAGAGCUUACACAUAGACACUACAAUAAUAUUCUAUGAGUUUUUUUUUUU
RNAcentral lists this long non-coding RNA (507 nucleotides) under Trifolium pratense (red clover). RNAcentral's name for it is "long non-coding RNA (TPRA_LNC011689)". The record is from RNAcentral. Lineage: Eukaryota; Viridiplantae; Streptophyta; Magnoliopsida; Fabales; Fabaceae.